This 255-nucleotide ribosomal RNA is filed under the name uncultured bacterium. Its description in RNAcentral is "partial 16S ribosomal RNA". It matches the Rfam family "Bacterial small subunit ribosomal RNA", at positions 99 to 354 of the family's 1533-position model. The record is from RNAcentral.
CGGACGGGUGAGUAACGCGUGGGUAACCUGCCUUGCACUGGGGGAUAACACUUAGAAAUAGGUGCUAAUACCGCAUAAGCGCACGGCUUCGCAUGAAGUGGUGUGAAAAACUCCGGUGGUAUACGAUGGUUCCGCGUCUGAUUAGCUUGUUGGUGGGGUAAUGGCUCACCAAGGCGACGAUCAGUAGCCGGCCUGAGAGGGUGAACGGCCACAUUGGGACUGAGACACGGCCCAAACUCCUACGGAAGGCAGCAG